CCUACGGGGGGCAGCAGUGAGGAAUAUUGGUCAAUGGCCGGAAGGCUGAACCAGCCAUGCCGCGUGAAGGUCAGUGCCCUAUGGGCGUUAAACUUCUUUUGUGCGGGAGCAAUAAUGGUCACGUGUGGCCAGACGAGAGUACCGUACGCAUAAGCAUCGGCUAACUCCGUGCCAGCAGCCGCGGUAAUACGGGGGAUGCAAGCGUUAUCCGGAUUUAUGGGGUUGAAAGGGGGCGUAGGCUGUGAGGUAAGUCAGCGGUGAAAUGCCCACGCUCAACGGGGUGAAGUGCCAUUGAUACUGCCUAGCUGGAAUGCGGAUGCCGUGAGAGGAAUGUGUGGUGUAGCGGUGAAAUGCAUAGAUAUCACACAGAACACCGAUUGCGAAGGCAUCUCACGAAUCCGCGAUUGACGCUGAUGCACGAAAGCGUGGGUAUCAAACAGGAUUAGAUACCCCAGUAGUC
Molecule: ribosomal RNA, 460 nt
Filed under: uncultured bacterium
Lineage: Bacteria
Description: partial 16S ribosomal RNA
Rfam family: Bacterial small subunit ribosomal RNA
Source: RNAcentral